GUGAGGAAUAUUGCGCAAUGGAGGCAACUCUGACGCAGCCAUGCCGCGUGCAGGAAGAAGGCGCUACGCGUUGUAAACUGCUUUUAACCGGGAAGAAACCCCAGGACGUGUCCUGGGUUGACGGUACCGGAGGAAUAAGCACCGGCUAACUUCGUGCCAGCAGCCGCGGUAAUACGAAGGGUGCAAGCGUUAUCCGGAUUCAUUGGGUUUAAAGGGUGCGUAGGCGGAGCGUUAAGUCAGUGGUGAAAUCCUGCAGCUUAACUGUAGACUUGCCAUUGAUACUGGCGCUCUUGAGUGCGCUUGAAGUGGGCGGAAUGUGCCGUGUAGCGGUGAAAUGCUUAGAUAUGGCACAGAACACCAAUUGCGAAGGCAGCUCACUAAGGCGAUACUGACGCUGAUGCACGAAAGCGUGGGGAUCGAACAGGAUUAGAAACCCGUGUAGUCC
Molecule: ribosomal RNA, 445 nt
Filed under: uncultured bacterium
Lineage: Bacteria
Description: partial 16S ribosomal RNA
Rfam family: Bacterial small subunit ribosomal RNA
Source: RNAcentral